GAUGAACGCUGGCGGCGUGCCUAAUACAUGCAAGUCGAGCGAACAGAUAAGGAUCUUGCUCUUUUGACGUUAGCGGCGGACGGGUGAGUAACACGUGGGUAACCUACCUAUAAGACUUGGAUAACUUCGGGAAACCGGAGCUAAUACCGGAUAAUAUUUCGAACCGCAUGGUUCGAUAGUGAAUGAUGUUUUUGCUAUCACUUAUAGAUGGACCCGUGACGUAUUAGUUAGUUGGUAAGGUAACGGCUUACCAAGGCGACGAUACGUAGCCGACCUGAGAGGGGGAAGGGGCACACUGGGACUGAAACACGGUCCAGAGUCCUAGGGGAGGCAGCAGUAGGGAAUGGUGGGAGAUGGGCGGAAGACUGAAGAAGCAACGCCGCGUGAGUGAUGAAGGGCUUCGGAUCGUAUAACUCUGUUAUUAGGGAAGAACAUACGUGUAAGUAACUGUGCACGUCGUGACGGUACCUAGACAGAAAGCCACGGCUAACUACGUG
Molecule: ribosomal RNA, 497 nt
Filed under: uncultured bacterium
Lineage: Bacteria
Description: partial 16S ribosomal RNA
Rfam family: Bacterial small subunit ribosomal RNA
Source: RNAcentral